AGAUCACUGGUAAUGCUAUCUUGAAGUCGAGGUAGAUCUUAAUAGGCCAUUGACUCUAGUCAGGUCGCCUACCAUAAAAUUAUUUUGUUGGAAGAGCUGCAAGGAGAUCAAAUUUGACUCGGAUAAACUUUCAAUGUUUUUAUAUGGCUAUUCUUGAGAAGGACGAUGAAAUCAUCUCUGCAGCAUCUCUGAGAAAACAUGGGACAAAGAUUGUGGAGAUUCCCUUUGUUACAACACAUGAAAAAUAUAGGCAUCAAGGGAGGUGGUGAAAGCUUCUGCUUGUGGUUGA
Quercus robur (English oak) is the source of this 289-nucleotide long non-coding RNA. RefSeq lists it as uncharacterized. Lineage: Eukaryota; Viridiplantae; Streptophyta; Magnoliopsida; Fagales; Fagaceae. The record is from RefSeq and is a predicted model, not a curated record. The transcript has 3 exons.